AAAGUCAGUUUCCUGUUUGCUUAGGGUUAUAUUUUAAUAAUUUCUUUUCAUUUUUGGCCUUGCUUAGAUAACUUUCAAGAACAUAUGGGGAAAGAUUUGGCAGUACCCUUCAUCCCUAAAGAAUUGCAAAAGAACUGUGCAAAAGAAAAUGGUUCAGAAAGCACUUCAGUCAAUCUGAGACUGCACCCCAUUAGAUGUCAAGCUUCUCUGGAGGCAAGACCAUCAGAGAGACAUCAGAACAUCCAAAUGUCUUCUGACAGGUCCGCUGCUUGUAAGAAAAAUGCCCAACCCUUCAACAAUGGCAGUGAAGAACCUUUCCUUGAAUUCUAUCUGUGUGAUUUUGCACUGAUUCUAACUACACAAAUGCUGGCCUGUUCCUUGAAGAUGGGUGUGGCAGAAAGAAAAUAAUCUGGAGAAAUACACGAAAAUGUUUACAAAUGAGUGUUCCAAGGGAUGGAAUAGGAGGUGGGGGAAGUGGUAAGAGCUGCAGUUUUGCCUCUGGGGGGUUGCAAAUGCUUCUGUAUGUCAGUGGCCUCCAAAAGGCUCCUGCCUCUGCCGCUCAACCAGGAGAAACUCACUCCCACAUCAGUCUCCAUCAGUACAAACACUACUGACAAUUUAAGAAAAUAUAAGCUUCUCAGAAUGUUAAAGCUGUAUUUGCAUAGUAUCAAAUAACCAGCCCACACUUUCUGAGCACCUUUUCUAAGCAAGGCAUUGUAGAAAAUUGAUAGACACAAAGAAGGAAGAGUCACAAGAGGGAGUUUCUUCCUCAAGGAGUUUAUACUCUGGAAGUGGGAACAGAGCCAUGUAGGUGGUCUCCGUGGAGACCAUUUGGGAACCCAAAUACCUUAGUGCCUGAAAAACCAAGACGGAGCAUAGACAAAUGAUUCAUCACAGGAAGCAGUGGCAGGACAAAGUAAAAUUGACCCCUCCUAGUCUGUUAUAUUCUACUCACAGGAUAAUUUACUCUAUUAAUGUAAAACGGAAUAUUGAACAUAAGUUGUUUGAAAGGAAGUCACUGAGUACAGCAUCCUAGAAUAGGGGUGGGGGGGUGACUAAAAUCACCUAGCUCAGCAAUGCUGUAAAGGUCUAUGGCUCUCCCUACGUUCCUCUGGGUGGAUGAGGCGGAGAGGCCAGCAGGGCUGUGGCGGGGGUCCAGCCACCCCAACACUGUGACUCUGUUGUCCAAAUUCCAUCCUAACAGUGUGCCUGUGAUUUAUCUCUAGACUGUGGUUUCACCUAAGAUGAGCUAAAGCAAAAUAUUUGUUCUGCUGAGAAAAAAAAUAAGGAAGGAAGGAAACGAGGAAGAAAGAAAGGAAGGUGUGCCCAUUAAUGUAAGUUCCCAUUUGGGAAACAAAUGAUUAUGCUCUGUUUGCACAGAAAGGAAGAAAAGCAAGAAGGAAGGAGGGGAUGCCACCCAUCUAAGCCGUCUAUCUUAUUAGGUGUGAGAGGUUAAGCAAUUAAGCCAAGGCUGAGCGUUUGCAAAUCUCCUAAUCAGGGCACUUUCAGAUGUAUCAUGCUGAUGCAUUAACACUGGUUGCACACAUGGGUUUCCCACCCAAUAACCGCCCCUCCCCUCCCCUUGUUCCUCUGUCCCUUUCUUUCAGGAGAGCUUGUAUUAAUUACAUAGGGGGUGUCCCUGUGUAACACAGAAAACUGCGUCCUCUCUAGAGCUAGCAGGGAAUCUUAAUCCACUAAAACUAUGAUGUAGUAUUUUAAGACAAAUAACAUGCAUUAAUCCAUUUUAUCAAUAAAUACCUCAUCAUGCCAUUUUGAACACAGUUAAUAGCAUCUAAAUUAAUAUCCAGUCCAUACACGAAUUUUCCUGAUUAUCCCUCCCCCAUUUUCUUAAUACACACAUUUUUUUAUAAUUGGCUGGAUUGAUCCAAAAGUGUUCAGACUUCUGCAUCUGAUUAUCAUACCUUGAGUCUCUGUUAGCCUAAUGAAUCUCCUCCUUUCUUUUUUCAUGCCACUGUCUUUUUGGAAAUAUGAGAUCAUUUGCUCAAUAGAAUGUAAUAUCUCUCGAUUUAGAGGGAUUUCCCCUGUUGUUUGACUAGUUCUUCUAUCCCUAAUAUUUCUUUAAACUGGUUGUGGAUCUGGAGACUGAGGGAGAUUCAGUUCCAUAUCAUAAUUGUGCAGGAAUACUUUUUGAGAGGCAUUAGGUAGUUAUGUUGCAUCACAUUAUGAGAUACACAUGGCAGAUCCUCCUUUCAGUGAAGCUAAGCUUUAUUAGUUGGUUACAGCCCAUAACUUUUAAAGAAACUCCUUUCCUCUUUUAUCAGCAGGAACUGGCUUCUGAGGACAUUGCUGAAGUGAGUUGACUGCUUUAUAUGGUGGUACUUUUCGUGGCAAGGCCCCUAGGUAUAUUCUGGCUAUUGAGAUGGGGUGGACAGUUUGCUAGGAAACUGUGAAGUCCUUCCUCACCCUUACAGUGGGCCUAAGGAGAGGACUCUCUCUCCUCUGAAUUUUGGAUAUUGCAGCACCAGGAUAUAACAUCUGAAUCACUACAGCCAUCCUACAACCAGGAAGGACACUGAGGACAAGAGCCAAAGAACUAUGUAGUUCAGGCUGGCCUUAAACUCACUAAGACAGAAAGAACCAUGGGCGCUCAUGGUACCACUGAGCAUCUCAGUGAGCCAGGAGCUGGGCCUACCCUAACCCUCUUACCUGGGAUAAUCCAUUGCUGUAUUUCAGUGGUUUUUAUUUGUUUUUCAUGACAUGGCACAUAGAUGAUGCUAUAUGAUAGGGUUUACGUGUCACACUGGCAUAGGAUUUUUAUGGAAGUUCAUAUGAUAUAAUGAAGAUAUGAAAAAUAAAAUGCAAAUUAUGAGGCAGUACACACAGUACUGAAUUUGUACAGCAUUCUAAAUAAAAACAUUUGUUGGGAACUUGGUCUUGCUUGCACGACCCUAAUACUUUUAAGCCAGAGAUUUUAUGCUUGAAAUGGCUACAUGAUGUUGCUAAUAAAAAUUUGUAACAUUAUCUUCAAAUACUUGAGUGUAACUGUUAAUAAGACACUUUGCAAAAGUAGAGAAUAAAAAAAUCUUAGAUCAUUAGAAAAAACUAUUAAAAACACAAUAAUUGAAAUUGUAUUUGACAAGCUCAACACAUGAUUUUUCUCUCAUUAAUGACUGAAUGCUGAAAUUUCUUGUAUUCAUGUAAAUGGACUUCUUAUCUAAUGGAAUUUUCUCAUAUCAAAUAUUUCAAAACAAUGCAAAGUUCUAAUUUAUAGAUGCACUGCUAAAGUAGGAGCCCUGCAGUGAGCAUCCUGUAGCAGAUGCCAGUAAAUAUUAAUAUAAACUACAGAUGGGUAGAUGUUUCUUAUUUAUUUAUUUAGGUUUUUAGAAAUAGAGUCUUGCUAUGUAGUUCAGGCUGGCCUUAAACUCACUAUGUAGCCCAGGCUAGCCUUGAACCUAAGGCAAUCCUCCUGCCUCAGCCUCUCAAAUGCUGGGAUUACAGGCAUGCAGCACCACACCCAGUUAGGCAUAUCUAAUACAUACAAAGACAAAUGUUAAAGUCACCACCUGGAGCUCUGCCUGCCACAGUCCCUGGAUUACUCCUUCUUCCUUCUGUAGCUCUUGGACACCAUGCCAUGAUUUGAGAGCACUUAGAAUAUAAACAUUCCAGAACCUUCUCCAGAGGGGUGCGUAUCUGGGGAUAGAACACCUCCUUGACUGUACUUAUCAUGUCAUGCUAGACAUCUAGGAGCUGUCCCCACUCAGACCAUUCAGUGAGAAGCCCCGAUGAAGCUAUUUGUAGCA
This 3761-nucleotide long non-coding RNA is filed under the name Chinchilla lanigera (long-tailed chinchilla). RNAcentral's name for it is "lncRNA (ENSCLAG00000029313.1)". Lineage: Eukaryota; Metazoa; Chordata; Mammalia; Rodentia; Chinchillidae. The record is from RNAcentral.